UGGACCAUCAAUUGUGCAUAGGAAAUGCUUCUAAAUGUUUCAAGAGUAGGAUUGUUGAAGAAAGUAAAAAAAAUGUACUGUUUUUUUUCUUGGAAAGAAGUGGGUAGUUGGCCGCCCUUUCCAUUCUAGCUUUGUUGUCCUGCCAUGUUUAUUGUGGUGUUGCAGUGAUGACUUUGAGAAGGCGAGGAGAUGAUUGCCAAAAUGGUCCAUUUCUUUCAUUGUUAUUGUUCACAAGCUUUUGACUCCUAAGAUGCAUUUUGCACCCCUAACGUUUUUUUCCAAUGGUUUUAAGGGGUUCUAGCAUAUUA
This 308-nucleotide unclassified non-coding RNA is filed under the name Hevea brasiliensis (rubber tree). The record is from RNAcentral. Lineage: Eukaryota; Viridiplantae; Streptophyta; Magnoliopsida; Malpighiales; Euphorbiaceae.